RNAcentral lists this ribosomal RNA (422 nucleotides) under uncultured bacterium. RNAcentral describes it as "partial 16S ribosomal RNA". It matches the Rfam family "Bacterial small subunit ribosomal RNA", at positions 355 to 769 of the family's 1533-position model. The record is from RNAcentral.
UAGGGAAUCUUCCACAAUGGACGAAAGUCUGAUGGAGCAACGCCGCGUGAGUGAAGAAGGUUUUCGGAUCGUAAAGCUCUGUUGUCGGUGAAGAAGGAUAGAGGCAGUAACUGGUCUUUAUUUGACGGUAAUCAACCAGAAAGUCACGGCUAACUACGUGCCAGCAGCCGCGGUAAUACGUAGGUGGCAAGCGUUGUCCGGAUUUAUUGGGCGUAAAGCGAGCGCAGGCGGAAUGAUAAGUCUGAUGUGAAAGCCCACGGCUCAACCGUGGAACUGCAUCGGAAACUGUCAUUCUUGAGUGCAGAAGAGGAGAGUGGAACUCCAUGUGUAGCGGUGGAAUGCGUAGAUAUAUGGAAGAACACCAGUGGCGAAGGCGGCCCCCUGGACAAAGACUGACGCUCAGGUGCGAAAGCGUGGGGAGC